Molecule: ribosomal RNA, 630 nt
Filed under: Stenotrophomonas sp. C11
Lineage: Bacteria; Pseudomonadati; Pseudomonadota; Gammaproteobacteria; Lysobacterales; Lysobacteraceae
Description: bacterial SSU rRNA
Rfam family: Bacterial small subunit ribosomal RNA
Source: RNAcentral
AACACAUGCAAGUCGAACGGCAGCACAGAAGAGCUUGCUCUCUGGGUGGCGAGUGGCGGACGGGUGAGGAAUACAUCGGAAUCUACUCUGUCGUGGGGGAUAACGUAGGGAAACUUACGCUAAUACCGCAUACGACCUACGGGUGAAAGCAGGGGACCUUCGGGCCUUGCGCGAUUGAAUGAGCCGAUGUCGGAUUAGCUAGUUGGCGGGGUAAAGGCCCACCAAGGCGACGAUCCGUAGCUGGUCUGAGAGGAUGAUCAGCCACACUGGAACUGAGACACGGUCCAGACUCCUACGGGAGGCAGCAGUGGGGAAUAUUGGACAAUGGGCGCAAGCCUGAUCCAGCCAUACCGCGUGGGUGAAGAAGGCCUUCGGGUUGUAAAGCCCUUUUGUUGGGAAAGAAAUCCAGCUGGCUAAUACCCGGUUGGGAUGACGGUACCCAAAGAAUAAGCACCGGCUAACUUCGUGCCAGCAGCCGCGGUAAUACGAAGGGUGCAAGCGUUACUCGGAAUUACUGGGCGUAAAGCGUGCGUAGGUGGUCGUUUAAGUCCGUUGUGAAAGCCCUGGGCUCAACCCUGGGAACUGCAGUGGAUACUGGGCGANCUAGAAUGUGGUAGAGGGUAGCAGGAU